AACGAACGCUGGCGGCAUGCCUAACACAUGCAAGUCGAACGAGACCUUCGGGUCUAGUGGCGCACGGGUGCGUAACGCGUGGGAACCUGCCCUUAGGCUCGGAAUAACUCCCCGAAAGGGGUGCUAAUACCGGAUAAUGUCUUCGAACCAAAGAUUUAUCGCCUUUGGAUGGGCCCGCGUUGGAUUAGCUGGUUGGUAGGGUAAAAGCCUACCAAGGCGACGAUCCAUAGCUGGUCUGAGAGGAUGAUCAGCCACACUGGGACUGAGACACGGCCCAGACUCCUACGGGAGGCAGCAGUGGGGAAUAUUGGACAAUGGGCGAAAGCCUGAUCCAGCAAUGCCGCGUGAGUGAUGAAGGCCUUAGGGUUGUAAAGCUCUUUUACCCGGGAUGAUAAUGACAGUACCGGGAGAAUAAGCUCCGGCUAACUCCGUG
RNAcentral lists this ribosomal RNA (433 nucleotides) under uncultured bacterium. RNAcentral describes it as "partial 16S ribosomal RNA". It matches the Rfam family "Bacterial small subunit ribosomal RNA", at positions 29 to 507 of the family's 1533-position model. The record is from RNAcentral.